CUGGGUCCACCUCCCACCCGUGUUUAUUGUACCUUGUUGCUUCGGUGAGCCCGCCUCACGGCCGCCGGGGGGCUUCUGCCCCCGGGCCCGCGCUCACCGAAGACACCAUUGAACUCUGUCUGAAGAUUGCAGUCUGAGCAUAAACUAAAUAAGUUAAAACUUUCAACAACGGAUCUCUUGGUUCCGGCAUCGAUGAAGAACGCAGCGAAAUGCGAUAACUAAUGUGAAUUGCAGAAUUCAGUGAAUCAUCGAGUCUUUGAACGCACAUUGCGCCCCCUGGUAUUCCGGGGGGCAUGCCUGUCCGAGCGUCAUUGCUGCCCUCAAGCACGGCUUGGUGUUGGGCUCCGUCCCCCCGGGGACGGGCCCGAAAGGCAGCGGCGGCACCGAGUCCGGUCCUCGAGCGUAUGGGGCUUUGUCACCCGCUCUGUAGGCCCGGCCGGCGCUAGCCGACAACCCAUCAUCCUUUUCAGGUUGACCUCGGAUCAGGUAGGGAUACCCGCUGAACUUAAGCAUAUCAAUAGGCCGGGAGGAAUCAUUACUGAGUGAGGGCCCUCUGGGUCCAACCUCCACCCGUGUUUAUGUACCUGUUGCUUGGUGAGCCCGCCUCAGGCCGCCGGGGGGGCUUCUGCCCCGGGCC
RNAcentral lists this ribosomal RNA (637 nucleotides) under Penicillium sp. 9.6 V1. RNAcentral's name for it is "eukaryotic LSU rRNA". The stretch from base 158 to 311 matches the Rfam family "5.8S ribosomal RNA". Lineage: Eukaryota; Fungi; Ascomycota; Eurotiomycetes; Eurotiales; Aspergillaceae. The record is from RNAcentral.